UUCGAUUGAGUUUGAUCAUGGCUCAGGAUAAACGCUGGCGGCGUGCCUAAUGCAUGCAAGUCGCACGGGAAGUUCUUUCGGGGACUUCGAGUGGCGAACGGGUGAGGAACACGUGGACAACCUACCCCGGCGUGGGGAAUACCCUUCAGAAAUGAAGGCUAAUACCGCGUACGGUCGUUUGGGACAGCCCGAACGAAGAAAGCAGCAAUGCGCGCUGGGAGGGGUCUGCGGCCGAUUAGCUUGUUGGUGGGGUAACGGCCUACCAAGGCNAUGAUCGGUAGCGGGUCUGAGAGGACGAUCCGCCACACGG
Molecule: ribosomal RNA, 310 nt
Filed under: uncultured bacterium
Lineage: Bacteria
Description: bacterial SSU rRNA
Rfam family: Bacterial small subunit ribosomal RNA
Source: RNAcentral